CCUACGGGUGGCAGCAGUGGGGGAUAUUGCACAAUGGGGGAAACCCUGAUGCAGCGACGCCGCGUGUGGGAAGACGGUCCUCUGGAUUGUAAACCACUGUCCCCAGGGACGAAGAUGACGGUACCUGGGGAGGAAGCUCCGGCUAACUACGUGCCAGCAGCCGCGGUAAUACGUAGGGAGCGAGCGUUGUCCGGAAUUACUGGGGGAAAAGGGAGCGUAGGCGGGACUGCAAGUUGGGUGUCAAAUCUACCGGCUCAACCGGUAGCCGCACUCAAAACUGCAGUUCUUGAGUGAAGUAGAGGCAGGCGGAAUUCCUAGUGUAGCGGUGAAAUGCGUAGAUAUUAGGAGGAACACCAGUGGCGAAGACGGCCUGCUGGGCUUUUACUGACGCUGAGGCUCGAAAGUGUGGGGAGCAAACAGGAUUAGAUACCCGAGUAGUC
RNAcentral lists this ribosomal RNA (440 nucleotides) under uncultured bacterium. RNAcentral's name for it is "partial 16S ribosomal RNA". It matches the Rfam family "Bacterial small subunit ribosomal RNA", at positions 338 to 795 of the family's 1533-position model. The record is from RNAcentral.